This is a non-coding RNA of Macaca mulatta (Rhesus monkey), 1240 nucleotides long. NCBI's taxonomy places the organism in Eukaryota, Metazoa, Chordata, Mammalia, Primates, Cercopithecidae. The record is from RefSeq and is a predicted model, not a curated record.
AGCAUAAGAAUUGGGCUUCAAUUUAACUUCACAAUCUUUUUUUUUCAAUGUGGGAGGUAAAUGAAAUGCAACCAAGUAAUGUCUGUGUGUAAUUCAGGGAUGAAGUAGAGAGAAAAACUGUGAUAGCCAAAUGAAGGAAGAGACCCACUGGUAAUAUCCUACAUGCACUGCUCAAAUACGAAAUCCUAGAAACCCUCUGCCUGUGCCGUCAACAUGGCUUUACUACUCAAAAGAAACAUUUAAAAGCUGCUAAAAUAGUAGUUCAGAAACUUACUCUAAGAUAUUUAGCCAGCUUUCCAAAUGGCUGUCAAUAAUAUUAAACAUUCUAACUUUUCUUCAUAAAUAUUGUAACAGAUUCUAGUAGCUAACACCAAAGUCUUCAAGGUGAUUUUGAAAACCAGCAUUCAGCACCAUUAGUAUUUAUUUAUAAGCUUAUACACAGAAUUCCUUUAAAAACAAUAGUUGGAGAUUAUUUUUCUUCCCUUCCACUCUGAUUUCCUUUUAACUCAAAGGAAAGCUGCCAAUAGGUAUGUCAUGAUGCCAUGGAAAGUAAAUUCAGGGAAAUACAGAAAUGCUUUUUUUAUUUAAGUCAACCUUCUUUACAUACUUGCCAGAGUCAAAUCAUGAUGUAGCUUAAAAUUAUCAAAGCUAGCUAGAUAUACAGAAUCCUUGGCUGUCAAAGAGAAUAAUCUAUAUAUGUAUAAGUAAUGCAAAGAAGUACUUGGGGCUGGGAAAAUGAAAAUGGAAGCACAGGAUCAUGGGUUGGAGCACUGUAGCCACCCACUUUCCUCACCCUCAGGAUUUCUCUGGAGAUGUAAGCGAUCCAGUCUUCUUUGAGUGUGUUCCCUUUGGUGUUCUUCACAAGGUCUGUAAUGGACCCAGCCCCACAGAACUCCAUAACAAGCUAUAGGGCAGACAAGACACAAGAUGCUGCCAUUUUAUUCCUGAAACACAAAGUUAACUUUUUUCCAUGCAAUGUGAAAUCAAUAUCACAAUAAACAACCAGCAUAUAGUCAACCCAGAGACACCGGCCAAGGAAGCCUUUAGAAUCUGCCAGCUACUUACUGCUCCUCUUCAUGGUUUUUCUUCCCUCCCUUCCCCCCAGCCCCCACCCCCGCCACGCCCUUACAAUUCAAGCAAACGGAACGCCCACAAAUGCUCAGGAAACAUCCACCUACCCAGAGUUGGUCAUCAUGUCCUGGAGGGCUCUUUUUGAUGAAAGCACCAUAAUAUGUUGCAA